UACGAAGGGUGCAAGCGUUACUCGGAAUUACUGGGCGUAAAGCGUGCGUAGGCGGUUUGUUAAGUCCGUUGUGAAAGCCCUGGGCUCAACCUGGGAAUUGCAGUGGAUACUGGCGAGCUAGAGUGCGGUAGAGGAUGGUGGAAUUCCCAGUGUAGCGGUGAAAUGCGUAGAGAUCGGGAGGAACACCCGUGGCGAAGGCGGCCAUCUGGACCAGCACUGACGCUGAGGCACGAAAGCGUGGGGAGCAAACAGG
This 253-nucleotide ribosomal RNA is filed under the name uncultured bacterium. RNAcentral's name for it is "partial 16S ribosomal RNA". It matches the Rfam family "Bacterial small subunit ribosomal RNA", at positions 524 to 776 of the family's 1533-position model. The record is from RNAcentral.